This 253-nucleotide ribosomal RNA is filed under the name uncultured bacterium. RNAcentral describes it as "partial 16S ribosomal RNA". It matches the Rfam family "Bacterial small subunit ribosomal RNA", at positions 524 to 776 of the family's 1533-position model. The record is from RNAcentral.
UACGUAGGGGGCUAGCGUUGUCCGGAAUCAUUGGGCGUAAGGCGCGUGUAGGCGGUCCGGUAAGUCCGCUGUGAAAGUCGGGGGCUCAACCCUCGAAUGCCGGUGGAUACUGUCGGGCUAGAGUGCGGAAGAGGCGAGUGGAAUUCCUGGUGUAGCGGUGAAAUGCGCAGAUAUCAGGAGGAACACCAAUGGCGAAGGCAGCUCGCUGGGACGUGACUGACGCUGAGACGCGAAAGCGUGGGGAGCAAACAGG